This 700-nucleotide ribosomal RNA is filed under the name uncultured Alphaproteobacteria bacterium. Its description in RNAcentral is "bacterial SSU rRNA". It matches the Rfam family "Bacterial small subunit ribosomal RNA", at positions 69 to 814 of the family's 1533-position model. The record is from RNAcentral. Lineage: Bacteria; Pseudomonadati; Pseudomonadota; Alphaproteobacteria.
AGACCUUCGGGUCUAGCGGCGGACGGGUUAGUAACGCGUGGGAACGUGCCCUUCACUACGGAAUAGUCCCGGGAAACUGGGUUUAAUACCGUAUACGCCCUUUCGGGGGGAAAGAAUUUCGGUGAAGGAUCGGCCCGCGUCUGAUUAGAUAGUUGGUGGGGUAAUGGCCUACCAAGUCUACGAUCAGUAGCUGGUUUUAGAGGAUGAUCAGCAACACUGGGACUGAGACACGGCCCAGACUCCUACGGGAGGCAGCAGUGGGGAAUCUUGGACAAUGGGCGCAAGCCUGAUCCAGCCAUGCCGCGUGUGUGAUGAAGGCCUUAGGGUCGUAAAGCACUUUCGCCUGUGAUGAUAAUGACAGUAGCAGGUAAAGAAACCCCGGCUAACUCCGUGCCAGCAGCCGCGGUAAUACGGAGGGGGUUAGCGUUGUUCGGAAUUACUGGGCGUAAAGCGCGCGUAGGCGGACAUUUAAGUCAGAGGUGAAAUCCCGGGGCUCAACCCCGGAACGGCCCUUGAUACUGGGUGUCUUGAGUUCGAGAGAGGUGAGUGGAAUUCCGAGUGUAGAGGUGAAAUUCGUAGAUAUUCGGAGGAACACCAGUGGCGAAGGCGGCUCACUGGCUCGAUACUGACGCUGAGGUGCGAAAGUGUGGGGAGCAAACAGGAUUAGAUACCCUGGUAGUCCACACCGUAAACGAUGAAU